Molecule: small RNA, 143 nt
Filed under: Pan troglodytes (chimpanzee)
Lineage: Eukaryota; Metazoa; Chordata; Mammalia; Primates; Hominidae
Description: processed transcript
Source: RNAcentral
AUGCAGCAGAAGUUGCAAAAUGAUCUAACUGCAGAAGUAGCAGCUGCUACUAAAUAUGAACCUGGAUCCUAUAUAGCUUCUCCUCUAGGAUUUACACACAAGGAAAAUCUGAAUCAAGAUCCAGUUUUGGAAGUAACAAAAGA